This 527-nucleotide ribosomal RNA is filed under the name uncultured bacterium. RNAcentral describes it as "bacterial SSU rRNA". It matches the Rfam family "Bacterial small subunit ribosomal RNA", at positions 984 to 1509 of the family's 1533-position model. The record is from RNAcentral.
ACAUCCAGAGAACUUUAGCAGAGAUGCUUUGGUGCCUUCGGGAACUCUGAGACAGGUGCUGCAUGGCUGUCGUCAGCUCGUGUUGUGAAAUGUUGGGUUAAGUCCCGNAACGAGCGCAACCCUUUAUCCUUUGUUGCCAGCGGCUCGGCCGGGAACUCAAAGGAGACUGCCGGUGAUAAACCGGAGGAAGGUGGGGAUGACGUCAAGUCAUCAUGGCCCUUACGGCCAGGGCUACACACGUGCUACAAUGGCGCAUACAAAGAGAAGCGACCUCGCGAGAGCAAGCGGACCUCAUAAAGUGCGUCGUAGUCCGGAUUGGAGUCUGCAACUCGACUCCAUGAAGUCGGAAUCGCUAGUAAUCGUAGAUCAGAAUGCUACGGUGAAUACGUUCCCGGGCCUUGUACACACCGCCCGUCACACCAUGGGAGUGGGUUGCAAAAGAAGUAGGUAGCUUAACCUUCGGGAGGGCGCUUACCACUUUGUGAUUCAUGACUGGGGUGAAGUCGUAACAAGGUAAGCGUACGUGU